RNAcentral lists this transfer RNA (71 nucleotides) under Marmota monax (woodchuck). RNAcentral's name for it is "tRNA.Ser". It matches the Rfam family "tRNA". Rfam says of the family: Transfer RNA (tRNA) molecules are approximately 80 nucleotides in length. Their secondary structure includes four short double-helical elements and three loops (D, anti-codon, and T loops). Lineage: Eukaryota; Metazoa; Chordata; Mammalia; Rodentia; Sciuridae. The record is from RNAcentral.
GGGGUUGUGGCUCAGAGGUAGAGUGCUUGCCUCGAAUGCAUGGGGCACUGGGUUCGAUCCUCAGCACCACA